RNAcentral lists this ribosomal RNA (451 nucleotides) under uncultured bacterium. Its description in RNAcentral is "partial 16S ribosomal RNA". It matches the Rfam family "Bacterial small subunit ribosomal RNA", at positions 29 to 523 of the family's 1533-position model. The record is from RNAcentral.
AACGAACGCUGGCGGCAGGCUUAACACAUGCAAGUCGAACGGUUGUAGCAAUACAGCAGUGGCAGACGGGUGAGUAACACGUGGGAACCUUCCUAGAGGUACGGAACAACGCAGGGAAACUUGCGCUAAUACCGUAUACGCUCUUGCGAGGAAAGAUUUAUCGCCUUUAGACGGGCCCGCGUCGGAUUAGCUAGUUGGUGAGGUAACGGCUCACCAAGGCGACGAUCCGUAGCUGAUCUGAGAGGAUGAUCAGCCACACUGGGACUGAGACACGGCCCAGACUCCUACGGGAGGCAGCAGUGGGGAAUCUUGGACAAUGGGCGCAGGCCUGAUCCAGCCAUGCCGCGUGAGUGAAGAAGGCCUUCGGGUUGUAAAGCUCUUUUGUCAGGGACGAUAAUGACGGUACCUGAAGAAUAAGCCCCGGCAAACUUCGUGCCAGCCGCCGCGGUAA